This 445-nucleotide ribosomal RNA is filed under the name uncultured bacterium. Its description in RNAcentral is "bacterial SSU rRNA". It matches the Rfam family "Bacterial small subunit ribosomal RNA", at positions 330 to 792 of the family's 1533-position model. The record is from RNAcentral.
UCCAGACUCCUACGGGAGGCAGCAGUGGGGAAUAUUGCACAAUGGGGGAAACCCUGAUGCAGCGACGCCGCGUGAGUGAUGAAGUAUUUCGGUAUGUAAAGCUCUAUCAGCAGGGAAGAUAAUGACGGUACCUGACUAAGAAGCUCCGGCUAAAUACGUGCCAGCAGCCGCGGUAAUACGUAUGGAGCAAGCGUUAUCCGGAUUUACUGGGUGUAAAGGGAGCGCAGACGGCAGGGCAAGUCUGAUGUGAAAGUCCGGGGCUCAACCCCGGGACUGCAUUGGAAACUGUCCGGCUAGAGUGCAGGAGAGGUAAGUGGAAUUCCUAGUGUAGCGGUGAAAUGCGUAGAUAUUAGGAGGAACACCAGUGGCGAAGGCGGCUUACUGGACUGUAACUGACGUUGAGGCUCGAAAGCGUGGGGAGCAAACAGGAUUAGAUACCCGAGUA